CCUAAACAUAAAAUCGCUAUUUUUAAGGUUUAGAGUUUCAUAAAAUUAUAACAAGAAUCCCAUUAUAAUUUCUAAUAGACAAAUUUUUAUAUCGAAUUUCUCAAAUCACAAUGUAUAACUCAAGACUUCAAUUGGAUUUUCCCGUAAUUCUAUCUCUUAGGAUAAUUAAGCUUUGUACUGGUUUACAAAAGAAUCUUGUAGAAUGGUUAUAUGAACUAUGGACAUAAAUGUUGAAAAAAAAAAAACUUUAAGCUUUUACAUAGAGGCUUGAUCUAACUUCUGAAUAAAUCGAUUUCUCACAUUUCAAAUAAGCUUGUGAAGCAUAAUUUGCUUGUUAUUGCCUAAAACUAUUAAAGAUUUGAGAUAAAUAAUAAGUAAGAAGUAAGAAGUUAAAUUCGAAAAAUAAAAAUAAAAAUUUGGCUACCAGCGAACCAUCUGUCUUACUUUUUGGUUUGGCAUCAAUUUAAUAAGUAUCAUUGUUUGUUGUGCAAACUUGUUUUGUUAAUCUAGGUCUGACGAUGAGCCUGUAGAUCCGAAGCAGGAACUUGAAGAGCGAUGCAAGGCACUAUGCAUGCGACCACUCAAAGAAUA
This 591-nucleotide long non-coding RNA is filed under the name Olea europaea subsp. europaea. The record is from RNAcentral. Lineage: Eukaryota; Viridiplantae; Streptophyta; Magnoliopsida; Lamiales; Oleaceae.